AGAGUUUGAUCAUGGCUCAGAUUGAACGCUGGCGGCAGGCCUAACACAUGCAAGUCGAACGGUAACAGGAAGCAGCUUGCUGCUUUGCUGACGAGUGGCGGACGGGUGAGUAAUGUCUGGGAAACUGCCUGAUGGAGGGGGAUAACUACUGGAAACGGUGGCUAAUACCGCAUAACGUCGCAAGACCAAAGAGGGGGACCUUCGGGCCUCUUGCCAUCAGAUGUGCCCAGAUGGGAUUAGCUUGUUGGUGAGGUAACGGCUCACCAAGGCGACGAUCCCUAGCUGGUCUGAGAGGAUGACCAGCCACACUGGAACUGAGACACGGUCCAGACUCCUACGGGAGGCAGCAGUGGGGAAUAUUGCACAAUGGGCGCAAGCCUGAUGCAGCCAUGCCGCGUGUAUGAAGAAGGCCUUCGGGUUGUAAAGUACUUUCAGCGGGGAGGAAGGUGUUGUGGUUAAUAACCGCAGCAAUUGACGUUACCCGCAGAAGAAGCACCGGCUAACUCCGUGCCAGCAGCCGCGGUAAUACGGAGGGUGCAAGCGUUAAUCGGAAUUACUGGGCGUAAAGCGCACGCAGGCGGUCUGUCAAGUCGGAUGUGAAAUCCCCGGGCUCAACCUGGGAACUGCAUUCGAAACUGGCAGGCUUGAGUCUUGUAGAGGGGGGUAGAAUUCCAGGUGUAGCGGUGAAAUGCGUAGAGAUCUGGAGGAAUACCGGUGGCGAAGGCGGCCCCCUGGACAAAGACUGACGCUCAGGUGCGAAAGCGUGGGGAGCAAACAGGAUUAGAUACCCUGGUAGUCCACGCCGUAAACGAUGUCUACUUGGAGGUUGUGCCCUUGAGGUGUGGCUUCCGGAGCUAACGCGUUAAGUAGACCGCCUGGGGAGUACGGCCGCAAGGUUAAAACUCAAAUGAAUUGACGGGGGCCCGCACAAGCGGUGGAGCAUGUGGUUUAAUUCGAUGCAACGCGAAGAACCUUACCUGGUCUUGACAUCCACAGAACUUUCCAGAGAUGGAUUGGUGCCUUCGGGAACUGUGAGACAGGUGCUGCAUGGCUGUCGUCAGCUCGUGUUGUGAAAUGUUGGGUUAAGUCCCGCAACGAGCGCAACCCUUAUCCUUUGUUGCCAGCGGUCCGGCCGGGAACUCAAAGGAGACUGCCAGUGAUAAACUGGAGGAAGGUGGGGAUGACGUCAAGUCAUCAUGGCCCUUACGACCAGGGCUACACACGUGCUACAAUGGCGCAUACAAAGAGAAGCGACCUCGCGAGAGCAAGCGGACCUCAUAAAGUGCGUCGUAGUCCGGAUUGGAGUCUGCAACUCGACUCCAUGAAGUCGGAAUCGCUAGUAAUCGUGGAUCAGAAUGCCACGGUGAAUACGUUCCCGGGCCUUGUACACACCGCCCGUCACACCAUGGGAGUGGGUUGCAAAAGAAGUAGGUAGCUUAACCUUCGGGAGGGCGCUUACCACUUUGUGAUUCAUGACUGGGGUGAAGUCGUAACAAGGUAACCGUAGGGGAACCUGCGGUUGGAUCACCU
Molecule: ribosomal RNA, 1530 nt
Filed under: Salmonella enterica subsp. enterica serovar Typhimurium
Lineage: Bacteria; Pseudomonadati; Pseudomonadota; Gammaproteobacteria; Enterobacterales; Enterobacteriaceae
Description: bacterial SSU rRNA
Rfam family: Bacterial small subunit ribosomal RNA
Source: RNAcentral